RNAcentral lists this microRNA (20 nucleotides) under Ornithorhynchus anatinus (platypus). RNAcentral describes it as "oan-miR-425-3p". Its record names the gene oan-miR-425-3p. The record is from miRBase by way of RNAcentral. Lineage: Eukaryota; Metazoa; Chordata; Mammalia; Monotremata; Ornithorhynchidae.
CAUCGGGAAUAUCGUGUCCG